Molecule: ribosomal RNA, 498 nt
Filed under: uncultured bacterium
Lineage: Bacteria
Description: bacterial SSU rRNA
Rfam family: Bacterial small subunit ribosomal RNA
Source: RNAcentral
AUUGAACGCUGGCGGAAUGCUUUACACAUGCAAGUCGAGCGGCAGCGCGGGGCAACCUGGCGGCGAGCGGCGAACGGGUGAGUAACACAUCGGAACGUGCCCAGACGUGGGGGAUAGCCCGGCGAAAGCCGGAUUAAUACCGCAUGUGAUCUGAGGAUGAAAGUGGGGGACCGCAAGGCCUCACGCGUUUGGAGCGGCCGAUGGCAGAUUAGGUAGUUGGUGGGGUAAAGGCUUACCAAGCCUGCGAUCUGUAGCUGGUCUGAGAGGAUGAUCAGCCACACUGGGACUGAGACACGGCCCAGACUCCUACGGGAGGCAGCAGUGGGGAAUUUUGGACAAUGGGCGCAAGCCUGAUCCAGCCAUUCCGCGUGCAGGACGAAGGCCUUCGGGUUGUAAACUGCUUUUGUACGGUAACGAAAGGGCUCGUCUCUAAUACAGGGGCGAUAUGACGGUACCGUAAGAACUAAGCACCGGCGUAACUACGUGCCAGCAGCCGAC